AUUGAACGCUGGCGGCAUGCUUUACACAUGCAAGUCGAACGGCAGCGCGGGCUUCGGCCUGGCGGCGAGUGACGAACGGGUGAGUAAUGCAUCGGAACGUGCCCCGUAGUGGGGGAUAGCCCGGCGAAAGCCGGAUUAAUACCGCAUACGACCUGAGGGUGAAAGCGGGGGACCGAAAGGCCUCGCGCUAUUGGAGCGGCCGAUGUCGGAUUAGCUAGUUGGUGGGGUAAAGGCUUACCAAGGCGACGAUCCGUAGCUGGUCUGAGAGGACGACCAGCCACACUGGGACUGAGACACGGCCCAGACUCCUACGGGAGGCAGCAGUGGGGAAUUUUGGACAAUGGGGGCAACCCUGAUCCAGCCAUGCCGCGUGCGGGAAGAAGGCCUUCGGGUUGUAAACCGCUUUUGUUCGGGAAGAAAUCCUCUGGGCUAAUACCCCGGGGGGAUGACGGUACCGGAAGAAUAAGCACCGGCUAACUACGUG
This 484-nucleotide ribosomal RNA is filed under the name uncultured bacterium. RNAcentral describes it as "partial 16S ribosomal RNA". It matches the Rfam family "Bacterial small subunit ribosomal RNA", at positions 28 to 507 of the family's 1533-position model. The record is from RNAcentral.